Molecule: ribosomal RNA, 490 nt
Filed under: uncultured bacterium
Lineage: Bacteria
Description: partial 16S ribosomal RNA
Rfam family: Bacterial small subunit ribosomal RNA
Source: RNAcentral
AUUGAACGCUGGCGGCAGGCCUAACACAUGCAAGUCGAACGGUAACAGGAAGCAGCUUGCUGCUUUGCUGACGAGUGGCGGACGGGUGAGUAAUGUCUGGGAAACUGCCCGAUGGAGGGGGAUAACUACUGGAAACGGUAGCUAAUACCGCAUAACGUCGCAAGACCAAAGAGGGGGACCUUAGGGCCUCUUGCCAUCGGAUGUGCCCAGAUGGGAUUAGCUAGUAGGCGGGGUAACGGCUCACCUAGGCGACGAUCCCUAGCUGGUCUGAGAGGAUGACCAGCCACACUGGAACUGAGACACGGUCCAGACUCCUACGGGAGGCAGCAGUGGGGAAUAUUGCACAAUGGGCGCAAGCCUGAUGCAGCCAUGCCGCGUGUAUGAAGAAGGCCUUCGGGUUGUAAAGUACUUUCAGCGGGGAGGAAGGGAGUAAAGUUAAUACCUUUGCUCAUUGACGUUACCCGCAGAAGAAGCACCGGCUAACUCCGUG